UAGUACGGCGAGUGAAGAGGGAAGAGCCCAAGAUUGAAAGCUGGCGUCUUCGGCGUCCGCAUUGUAAUCUCAAGAAGUGUUUUCCGCUUCGGACCAAGCCUAAGUCCCCUGGAAAGGGGCAUCAUAGAGGGUGAUAAUCCCGUACAUGGCUUGGAGCGCCCGAGGCUUUGUGAUACGCUUUCUAAGAGUCGAGUUGUUUGGGAAUGCAGCUCAAAAUGGGUGGUAAAUGCCAUCUAAGGCUAAAUAUUGGGGAGAGACCGAUAGCGAACAAGUACAGUGAUGGAAAGAUGAAAAGAACUUUGAAAAGAGAGUUAAACAGUACGUGAAAUUGCCAAAAGGGAAGGGUAGGAGGUCAGAGAUGCGGCCUGGGAUUCAGCCUUGCUUUUGCUUGGUGUUUUUCCCAGAUUGCAGGCCAACGUCGGUUUUGGGCACUGGAGAAGGGUAGGAGGAACGUGGCACCUCUCGGGGUGUGUUAUAGCCUCCUACUGGAUACAGCGACCGAGACCGAGGACAGCAGCGUACUCGCAAGAGCGGGCCUUCGGGCACCUUUACGCUUAGGGCGUUGGCAUAAUGGCCCUCUACCACCCGUCUUG
This 593-nucleotide ribosomal RNA is filed under the name uncultured Pseudozyma. RNAcentral describes it as "eukaryotic LSU rRNA". It matches the Rfam family "Eukaryotic large subunit ribosomal RNA", at positions 81 to 656 of the family's 3401-position model. Lineage: Eukaryota; Fungi; Basidiomycota; Ustilaginomycetes; Ustilaginales; Ustilaginaceae. The record is from RNAcentral.